This 585-nucleotide ribosomal RNA is filed under the name uncultured Bacilli bacterium. RNAcentral's name for it is "bacterial SSU rRNA". It matches the Rfam family "Bacterial small subunit ribosomal RNA", at positions 135 to 706 of the family's 1533-position model. Lineage: Bacteria; Bacillati; Bacillota; Bacilli. The record is from RNAcentral.
AGUCUGGGAUACCAUUUGGAAACAGGUGCUAAUACCGGAUAAUAAAGCAGAUCGCAUGAUCAGCUUUUGAAAGGCGGCGUAAGCUGUCGCUAAGGGAUGGCCCCGCGGUGCAUUAGCUAGUUGGUAAGGUAACGGCUUACCAAGGCGACGAUGCAUAGCCGAGUUGAGGGACUGAUCGGCCACAUUGGGACUGAGACACGGCCCAAACUCCUACGGGAGGCAGCAGUAGGGAAUCUUCCACAAUGGACGCAAGUCUGAUGGAGCAACGCCGCGUGAGUGAAGAAGGUUUUCGGAUCGUAAAGCUCUGUUGUUGGUGAAGAAGGAUAGAGGUAGUAACUGGCCUUUAUUUGACGGUAAUCAACCAGAAAGUCACGGCUAACUACGUGCCAGCAGCCGCGGUAAUACGUAGGUGGCAAGCGUUGUCCGGAUUUAUUGGGCGUAAAGCGAGCGCAGGCGGAAAAAUAAGUCUAAUGUGAAAGCCCUCGGCUUAACCGAGGAACUGCAUCGGAAACUGUUUUUCUUGAGUGCAGAAGAGGAGAGUGGAACUCCAUGUGUAGCGGUGGAAUGCGUAGAUAUAUGGAAGAA